Molecule: long non-coding RNA, 2014 nt
Filed under: Ananas comosus (pineapple)
Lineage: Eukaryota; Viridiplantae; Streptophyta; Magnoliopsida; Poales; Bromeliaceae
Description: long non-coding RNA (ACOM_LNC031198)
Source: RNAcentral
UAAAUUUUUAAAGUUUCAUGGAUAUAUAUUUAUAUAUGAUAUUUUAAAGUUUGGAGAAAUGUAUAUGCAGUAUUCUAAUUUAUAGAAAUAUAUUUUUAAAUAAAAAAUUGCACCGAAGAGGCUUUAAUGAUUGAUACUUAAGGUCCUAAGUUCUUAACUUAGUUGUUUUAUAUUUCUCAGCUAAUUUUAUUUCUUAAACAAAAAUAUACGAAGCGCAUAACAUGUUAUCUUACUCUAAAAAAAUAGUAAAUUUCCGAACUUUCAAUCAUGCUUCAUUUUAGUCCUCAAAAUUUCAUGCGACGGCAGUGGUCUCUAAAAUCUUAAAAGAGUUUCACUUUAAUUUUUGCAUAUAUUUACUAUUAGAGGAUAAAUUAUUGCACGCACCCAAUAGUUUUGUACACUUAUACACUAUAUAUUUAUUAGUUUUUUUUUCCAUUAUAUAUUUCAAUCCUAACACUCGUCGAGUUAUACUUCUUUUUUUGAUACAAAAAAUUAGAUUUCUGAAUUGAAAGUACGAGAUGGGUGAAGAAACAAUGAAUUUAUGGUGUGCGAAUAAACAACUGAACUAGUGCAAGCAAUAACUUUUAAUCUAAAUUAAGGACUAAAAAUGAAACAUUUUUAAUUGGAAGUUUAGGAACUCAAUCGAAACCUUUACUAAAUGUUUAGAAUCUCCAAAGUCGAAAAUGAAAGUUUGAGGAUCAAAAUUAAACUUUAGUCAUGUAUAGUUUGGGGACUAACAGUGCAAUUUACACUACUUUUAAUUGUCCUUUUUGGGGAUAAUUGCAUAUGGCUCUCUGUAAAGGUAGGUAUGAGUUAAAAAAGCUAACCAUAGUUAGCUAAGGGUGAAAUAACCUUUUUAGUCCUUAUAUAUAUAAUGUGCAUGUAUUCCAAUGUUGAGUCCUGUUAACUUUCCCACCCUCUUCUCUUUAUUCGUAACGAUGGUGAGAUCUACGACAGCGGUGACGUCGAAGGCGAGGUCUCGGUCGUGACAAAAGUGAGGUACGCUGCACGUUCCGUGCGAAGUGAAGGAGAGAGAUGGAAAGAAAAUUAACUUUUUGCAGAGACAAAUUUGUAAGGAUAAAAUAGUCAUUUUACUCACUCACUGUUAAAAAACUAAUGUUGAAUUAAACGGCAGAUAUAUAUAUAUAUAUAUAUAUAGAGAGAGAGAGAGAGAGAGAGAGAGAGAGAGAGAGUAGGGCUACUAUACUCUUAUGAGUAUAGAACCCUUACUACUCAUAAGUUGUUUUCGAUAUUGGAAUUUUUUAAUUGACGAUCCACACCGUUAAAUAUGAUCUAGAGUAUUUGAAACUUCUAGAAAAUAAAUUUCAUAAAUUUUCAAAAUCAUUACAAAGUCCAUCAAGCGAGUAUAAAAUGAACGGUUAAAAUCAAAUGACAUCCUAAAAAUGGAUGAUCGGAUCCUUCAAUUUAAGAUCGGAGUUAUUGAUCUUUAUUUAGGUAGUGAAUAGAAUUUUCUAUCAAAAAUUCAACCUAUUUCGAUUCUUUUUCACCGUUAAACUAGCAAAUAUCUCAUACCGGCCGUUAAAAAUUAUCAAUUUUGUGACCGUUUGAUCGUAAGGUAAAUAAUAUCGAAAAAUUAUAAAAUUUAAUUUCUAGAAGUUUUAAAUGAUCUAGAUAAUAUUUAACGGUAUGGAUCGUCGAUUCGGAAGUUCUAUCAUCGAAAACAACUUAUGAGUACGAGAGCGAUCGUACUCAUAAGAGUAUAGUAGCCGGACUAUAUAUAUAUAUAUAUAUAAAAUUGAGCUCCUAUGCUUUUAAAAGUACCAAGUUAUUGGUGUUUGUAGGUUUUUAGCCAUUGGAUUAAGAGAUAUGCGGUUAGGAUGAUGUGGGCUCCCUAGGGUUGAGUAGGUGGUUGGUUGAAUAGUAUAUAUAUAUGAACCGAAGCAGAACAUUUAAAGGGAUGUUUUUGUAAAUCAGAAAAUUUUUGAGUGGACAAAUUUGAAAUCGUUAGUUUUGUAGGAAUAUAUUUGCUAUUUAACAUCUUUUAGGCACCUAU